This is a regulatory RNA element of 106 nucleotides. It matches the Rfam family "TPP riboswitch aptamer (THI element)". From Rfam's summary of the family: Vitamin B(1) in its active form thiamin pyrophosphate (TPP) is an essential coenzyme that is synthesised by coupling of pyrimidine and thiazole moieties in bacteria. The previously detected thiamin-regulatory element, thi box was extended, resulting in a new, highly conserved RNA secondary structure, the THI element, which is widely distributed in eubacteria and also occurs in some archaea. Analysis of operon structures identified a large number of new candidate thiamin-regulated genes, mostly transporters, in various prokaryotic organisms. The record is from Rfam.
AAUUGAAAGCAGGGGAGCUGUUGUGAACAGCUGAGAGGAAAAUAAAUUUUCGACCCUUUAAACCUGAUUGGUUAAGACCAGCGUAGGGAGCUAUUUAGACGGUAGA